This 68-nucleotide transfer RNA is filed under the name Istiophorus platypterus (Indo-Pacific sailfish). RNAcentral describes it as "tRNA-Arg". It matches the Rfam family "tRNA". From Rfam's summary of the family: Transfer RNA (tRNA) molecules are approximately 80 nucleotides in length. Their secondary structure includes four short double-helical elements and three loops (D, anti-codon, and T loops). Lineage: Eukaryota; Metazoa; Chordata; Actinopteri; Istiophoriformes; Istiophoridae. The record is from RNAcentral.
AGGUAGCUAGUUUAAAAAAACAUUUGAUUUCGGCUCAAAAACUUGUGGUUAAAGUCCGCAGCUGCCUA